UACGUAGGGGGCUAGCGUUGUCCGGAUUUAUUGGGCGUAAAGAGCGUGUAGGCGGCCAUGUAGGUCCGGUGUGAAAACUCGAGGCUUAACCUCGAGAUGUCAUCGGAAACCAUUUGGCUAGAGUCCGGAAGAGGAGAGUGGAAUUCCUGGUGUAGCGGUGAAAUGCGCAGAUAUCAGGAAGAACACCGGUGGCGAAGGCGGGGUCUCUGGGCAGUAACUGACGCUGAGGAGCGAAAGCGUGGGGAGCAAACAGG
RNAcentral lists this ribosomal RNA (254 nucleotides) under uncultured bacterium. Its description in RNAcentral is "partial 16S ribosomal RNA". It matches the Rfam family "Bacterial small subunit ribosomal RNA", at positions 524 to 776 of the family's 1533-position model. The record is from RNAcentral.